CGCUGGCGGCGCGCUUAACACAUGCAAGUCGAACGUGAAGCCCGGGCUUGCCCGGGUGGAAAGUGGCGAACGGGUGCGUAACACGUGAGGAACGUGCCCCGAAGACCGGGAUAACUCGAGGAAACUCGUGCUAAUACCGGAUGUCCUCAUCGGAUCGCAUGGUCUGGUGAGGAAAUGGAUUCCGCUUCGGGAUCGCCUCGCGGCCUAUCAGCUUGUUGGUGGGGUAACGGCCUACCAAGGCAACGACGGGUAGCUGGUCUGAGAGGAUGUCCAGCCACACUGGGACUGAGACACGGCCCAGACUCCUACGGGAGGCAGCAGUGGGGAAUCUUGCACAAUGGGCGAAAGCCUGAUGCAGCGACGCCGCGUGCGGGAUGAAGGCCCUCGGGUCGUAAACCGCUUUCAGCAGGGACGAUAGUGACGGUACCUGCAGAAGAAGCCCCGGCCAACUACGUGCCAGCAGCCGCGGUAAUACGUAAGGGGCAAGCGUUGUCCGGAUUUAUUGGGCGUAAAGAGCUCGUAGGCGGUUCGAUAAGUCGGGUGUGAAAUCUCCAGGCUCAACCUGGAGGCGCCACUCGAUACUGUCGUGACUUGAGUUCGGUAGAGGAGUAUGGAAUUCCCGGUGU
RNAcentral lists this ribosomal RNA (626 nucleotides) under uncultured soil bacterium. RNAcentral's name for it is "bacterial SSU rRNA". It matches the Rfam family "Bacterial small subunit ribosomal RNA", at positions 34 to 676 of the family's 1533-position model. The record is from RNAcentral.